CGGGAAUGGUCUCCGUGCUCGGAUACAAGUUCCUGUCUCCACUGCUUGCUACCAAGCUGAGGAUCCAAGAUACCUGUGGCGUCCAUUAUCUGCACGGCUUACCUGGUGUGAUGGGCGGCCUGGCCAGUAUCGUGGCGAUAGCCAUGAACGUGCCCAGCAAGUCUUCCAUGGCCUUGCAGGCAGCAGCCCUGGGUUC
Perognathus longimembris pacificus (Pacific pocket mouse) is the source of this 196-nucleotide long non-coding RNA. RefSeq lists it as uncharacterized. Lineage: Eukaryota; Metazoa; Chordata; Mammalia; Rodentia; Heteromyidae. The transcript has 3 exons. The record is from RefSeq and is a predicted model, not a curated record.